This 481-nucleotide long non-coding RNA is filed under the name Physcomitrium patens. RNAcentral describes it as "long non-coding RNA (PPAT_LNC010264)". The record is from RNAcentral. Lineage: Eukaryota; Viridiplantae; Streptophyta; Bryopsida; Funariales; Funariaceae.
UUAGAGUGGGAUGGUCGACGUAGCAUGAUGUAGUAGGGAAGCAAACAAAACCUUCGAGCUUAUGGUUGUUAUGUAAUUGGGUCGAGUUUCAUUGCGAUGGUGUUAGUUGGAGCAACUGGUUGCUGUUGUUGUUAACAAAAGCACUGUUUAAGCAAUCCUUGAUUGAGUCAAGGAGAUCCUACGGAGCUAUAAUUCAAGACUUCUUGGCUGUUGGUUCCUCAAGUCAAUUGUAGCCAUGUAUCAAGGAUCCCUUAGCUAAUUCCCUUUUGCUCUUCUCGUCCCAUCGUGGGGCUGCAACUAUCCAGUUAUUGAUCCCUGAUUCUUCUCUUGUGGUUGACACAAUUCCAGCAAGUCGUAUAGUUCAGCGACGUUCUUAGCAUUGCAUCUUCGUGUAGUUGCUCUCAAUUGAAUUUGGCGAUUGAGGCAGUGGAUCAGUAGUUGUUUGUCUUUUUCUCCUAGUAGUAGUUGUAGUGGGAGACUU